Long non-coding RNA from Fukomys damarensis (Damara mole-rat), 1346 nucleotides. RefSeq lists it as uncharacterized. Lineage: Eukaryota; Metazoa; Chordata; Mammalia; Rodentia; Bathyergidae. The record is from RefSeq and is a predicted model, not a curated record. The transcript is spliced from 6 exons.
GGCCAUAGAAUUGGAUUCAGUUGAUUCUUGCCAACUAGCUACAACUUGAAAGAUUCCAGCUCUAGCCUUUUCUCUGGCAUCAGAGAGCUCUGCGACUUUGGAUGUGCAGACAGCGCCAGCCCUCCUCCCCAGCAAGGGCUGCUGUGAAGACGAAAGGCGAUCCUGGAGAGGCGAGGGUUUCGCCAACCAUCCGAGGCUGUGUAAUGCUGUGGUUACCCCUCCAAGUCAGAGCUCUUACCUGCACAGUGAAGUGGAGGACGAAGACUUCCGGCGUGCAAAGGAAAGAGGGACUAAGCCCCAGCAGACCUCAGGAGAAGGAAACCUCCUGGCUACUUUGGCACAUGUCCACAGUCAGUCUAAGAGAAGCAAGCUGAAGAUCUCAGUCUGACAAAGUGGAUGGUUGGAAUCACUGGCCUUCCUCUCUCCGGCCCGUUCCUUGCUGGCUGCCUCAGCAGAUGUGCAUGAAGCCUGUGGGUGUGCACAAGGGACGACAGGCAGACGGCUCUUCGGGGGAAGUGGCACCCACACCUGCAGUCCAGGCUGUACACCUGGGGAUGACAGAGAGAGGAGCUUCAGCCCACCCCAUUGGGCCUCCAUAGAAGAGUGUUGAGCAAGAUAGGACUGAAGACAGAGCCCAGAGGUGUAUCCUAAAGACCUCCACUGUUAGUCGUGUGUUCAGGAGAAACUGCUCUGCCAAAAACAUCUUUAAAAGCUCAGGACGAGCCACACCUGGCGGAUGUAAGGAGUGCUGAGAAUGGUCCAGAGCGUGUGACUUCAGAUCUCUAUAAGAAUCAUGAUGUUUCCAAGGCAACACAUGGCUUGGGGAAAUUGGAGAGAAUACUCCUGAAGCAAAGGGAUAACAUCACAGCUACCACGACAGACAAUGCUAUCCAGCUCACAACUGCCGGGUGCUCGGAGGGACCGAGGGAUCUUGACUGCAGUCUGGAAGGCCUGGGAUUUGGAGUGGAAUCGUCACGCUAGUGUUCAGUACAUUUGCAAAUGCCCUGGACGGUGCUGUGACGGGACCUCAGUUAAAACAGCAUGUAGGACUUGGCUCCUGCUUAUUUAGGUAUGCAAAUGACUGGCCACAACUGCUUUCUUAUCCUGCCCAAGUGAAGCAGAUGCUGCUGACUGUCUUUUCUAUUGUGCACGUCGGUGAGGGACACAAGUUUCCUCUUUUAUUUUCCAUUCCAGAUAUUGUCCAGCUGGUCAAAUUGCCAGAUCAUUUUCCCCGAGAUGACAUUAUUCCUUUUAAAAAAAAACUUAAAGUGUGAUUACAUAGAGUGGUUAUUGAAGAGAUUAUACAGUGAUACAAAAAUAAGGAAGUUAAAAAAAUUAAACUGCAU